ACGACCAUACCACAUUGAAAACACCAGUUCUCAUAUGAUCACUAAAGUUAAGCAAUGUUGGGCCCGGUCAGUACUUGGGAGGGUGACCACCUGGGAACACUGGGUGCUGUAAACU
Molecule: ribosomal RNA, 115 nt
Filed under: Cordylochernes scorpioides
Lineage: Eukaryota; Metazoa; Arthropoda; Arachnida; Pseudoscorpiones; Chernetidae
Source: RNAcentral